RNAcentral lists this ribosomal RNA (467 nucleotides) under uncultured bacterium. RNAcentral's name for it is "partial 16S ribosomal RNA". It matches the Rfam family "Bacterial small subunit ribosomal RNA", at positions 28 to 507 of the family's 1533-position model. The record is from RNAcentral.
GACGAACGCUGGCGGCGUGCUUAACACAUGCAAGUCGAACGGAAAGGCCUCUUUCGGGGGGUACUCGGGUGGCGAACGGGUGAGUAACACGUGAGUAACCUGCCCUUGACUUUGGGAUAACUUCAGGAAACUGGGGCUAAUACCGGAUAGGAGCUCCUGCUGCAUGGUGGGGGUUGGAAAGUUUCGGCGGUUGGGGAUGGACUCGCGGCUUAUCAGCUUGUUGGUGGGGUAGUGGCUUACCAAGGCUUUGACGGGUAGCCGGCCUGAGAGGGUGACCGGCCACAUUGGGGCUGAGAUACGGCCCAGACUCCUACGGGAGGCAGCAGUGGGGAAUAUUGCACAAUGGGUGGAAGCCUGAUGCAGCAACGCCGUGUGCGGGAUGACGGCCUUCGGGUUGUAAACCGCUUUCGCUCAUGACGAAGCUUUGUGUGACGGUAGUGGGUAAAGAAGCACCGGCUAACUACGUG